AACGAACGCUGGCGGCAUGCCUAACACAUGCAAGUCGAACGGGACCUUCGGGUCUUGUGGCGCAUGGGUGCGUAACGAGGGGGAAGCUGCCCUUAGGAUCGGAAUAACUCCCCGAAAGGAGUGCUAAGAAAGGAUAAUGUCUUCGGACCAAGGAUUUAUCGCGUUUGGAUGGGCCCGCGUUGGAUUAGCCAGUUGGGAGGGUAAAAGCCUACCAAGGCGACGAUCGAUAGCUGGUCUGAGAGGGGGGGCCGCCACACUGGGACUGAGACGCGGCCCAGACUCCUACGGGAGGCAGCAGAGGCGAAUAUUGCACCAUGGCCGAAGGGCUGAUCCAGCACUGCCGGGUGAGUGCUGAUGGCCUUAGGGUUGUAAAGCUCUUUUACCCGGGAGGGUAAUGACGGUACCGGGAGAAUAAGCUCCGGCUAACUCCGUG
RNAcentral lists this ribosomal RNA (433 nucleotides) under uncultured bacterium. Its description in RNAcentral is "partial 16S ribosomal RNA". It matches the Rfam family "Bacterial small subunit ribosomal RNA", at positions 29 to 507 of the family's 1533-position model. The record is from RNAcentral.